This 465-nucleotide ribosomal RNA is filed under the name uncultured bacterium. RNAcentral's name for it is "partial 16S ribosomal RNA". It matches the Rfam family "Bacterial small subunit ribosomal RNA", at positions 28 to 507 of the family's 1533-position model. The record is from RNAcentral.
GAUGAACGCUGGCGGCGUGCUUAACACAUGCAAGUCGAACGGAAAGGCCCCUGCUUGCAGGGGUACUCGAGUGGCGAACGGGUGAGUAACACGUGGGUGAUCUGCCCUUCACUUCGGGAUAAGCCUGGGAAACUGGGUCUAAUACCGGAUAGGACGAUGGUUUGGAUGCCAUUGUGGAAAGUUUUUCGGUGGGGGAUGGGGUCGCGGCCUAUCAGCUUGUUGGUGGGGUAAUGGCCUACCAAGGCGUCGACGGGUAGCCGGCCUGAGAGGGUGGACGGCCACAUUGGGACGGAGCUACGGCCCAGACUCCUACGGGAGGCAGCAGUGGGGAAGAGUGCACAAUGGGCGGAAGCCUGAUGCAGCGAAGCAGCGUGGGGGAUGACGGCCUUCGGGUUGUAAACUCCUUUCGUCAGGGACGAAGCGAAAGUGACGGUACCUGGAUAAGAAGCACCGGCUAACUACGUG